This 71-nucleotide transfer RNA is filed under the name Staphylinidae sp. BMNH 1274679. RNAcentral's name for it is "tRNA-Lys". The record is from RNAcentral. Lineage: Eukaryota; Metazoa; Arthropoda; Insecta; Coleoptera; Staphylinidae.
CAUUAGAUGGCUGAAAGUAAGCAAUGGUCUCUUAAACCAUCCUAUAGUAAAUUAGCACCUACUUCUAGUGG